RNAcentral lists this long non-coding RNA (104 nucleotides) under Salvator merianae (Argentine black and white tegu). RNAcentral's name for it is "lncRNA (ENSSMRG00000017377.1)". Lineage: Eukaryota; Metazoa; Chordata; Lepidosauria; Squamata; Teiidae. The record is from RNAcentral.
AGCCACAGCAGACACACUCGGGGCAGUAACAUUUCCAGAGAGAAGCAAGAAACGCCCCGUCAAUUACAGCUUGAACUGUGAUCUGAGGUCAGAGAUAAAAUCAC